Molecule: ribosomal RNA, 599 nt
Filed under: bacterium enrichment culture clone F44x_E15_T3_A07
Lineage: Bacteria
Description: bacterial SSU rRNA
Rfam family: Bacterial small subunit ribosomal RNA
Source: RNAcentral
UCAGAUUGAACGCUGGCGGCAUGCCUUACACAUGCAAGUCGAACGGCAGCACGGGAGCAAUCCUGGUGGCGAGUGGCGAACGGGUGAGUAAUACAUCGGAACGUGCCCUGUAGUGGGGGAUAACUAGUCGAAAGACUAGCUAAUACCGCAUACGACCUGAGGGUGAAAGUGGGGGACCGCAAGGCCUCAUGCUAUAGGAGCGGCCGAUGUCUGAUUAGCUAGUUGGUGGGGUAAAGGCCUACCAAGGCGACGAUCAGUAGCUGGUCUGAGAGGACGAUCAGCCACACUGGGACUGAGACACGGCCCAGACUCCUACGGGAGGCAGCAGUGGGGAAUUUUGGACAAUGGGGGCAACCCUGAUCCAGCAAUGCCGCGUGUGUGAAGAAGGCCUUCGGGUUGUAAAGCACUUUUGUCCGGGAAGAAAUCGCACCUGAUAAUACCGGGUGUGGAUGACGGUACCGGAAGAAUAAGGACCGGCUAACUACGUGCCAGCAGCCGCGGUAAUACGUAGGGUCCAAGCGUUAAUCGGAAUUACUGGGCGUAAAGCGUGCGCAGGCGGUUGUGCAAGACCGAUGUGAAAUCCCCGGGCUUAACCUGGG